GUUAUUUAGCCUCCAUCGCGACAAGCUACUAUGUCAUGAUUGGUACCAAUGGAUUCUUUAGGUUUUCUAGUUUCAUAUAAUACCAGUAUCUUCAAUCCAGCUUUAAAAUAAAUAUCAAAUAAGAGCCGGGCCUGACGGCGGCCCAUCGGAUUUAUAAGAGGUUAAAAAAAAAGUUGCGUGAAUGUGUUGUGGUAGACAUUUUUUUGGUCAGCAUCAGUGUUUUACGAAAGAGGGAAUUUGACUCAAGCUUGUUGCCAAGAUUUUCAGAAGAGGUUUUCCUCUCUGUGAUGAACAGGAAAAGGCUUUUAUUGUUGUUGUUGCCGACUCACAGAGCUUAAUAUCCCUCACUGGGUUUAAUGAUGUGUUUUAUAUUGUACAUCCAGCCUCUGUGUUACGUGAUAAUAACACACAACCAUUUUCCUCCAUGUUUUGGUUUUACAUCUCCCUUUGUUUUCUUUUUUUGUAUGGUCUUCCUCAGUGUUUGUUGAAUUGUGUUUCUCCUGAACCGAGUUUCCAUUUUGGACUUUCAUGGACACUUUUUAAAAAGAUGGAAAGGUUUGUAGAGGAUGGUGGGAGAUUCAGGGAUGCCUCUGAUAUUUCCUUUUGUGGAAGUGUUUGUACAAAGGAGUAGACUGUUGUGAUAAUGAUGAUGACUUAGACAAAAAAAAACACUUGUAAAACACUAUUCUGGUUUUUGGCUGAAGCUGCUGAGUAAUCUGAGGCGAGUGUGUGAGAGUGAGUGUGUGUGUGUGUGUGAAUGUUCUUUAAACACAAAGCUGAACAUUUUUCUUUUUUUAAAUUAUUGAUUGUACAGUUUCAAGGCAAGGGUAUGAAGAGUUAAGACUUUUUCACAAUAAAACUAUUGAAUGUUGGA
Long non-coding RNA from Sebastes umbrosus (honeycomb rockfish), 874 nucleotides. RefSeq lists it as uncharacterized. NCBI's taxonomy places the organism in Eukaryota, Metazoa, Chordata, Actinopteri, Perciformes, Sebastidae. The transcript has 2 exons. The record is from RefSeq and is a predicted model, not a curated record.